This is an RNA transcript of Phacochoerus africanus (Common warthog), 1829 nucleotides long. It is a transcript of the gene named solute carrier family 66 member 3, with no coding region annotated. The transcript has 8 exons. The record is from RefSeq and is a predicted model, not a curated record. NCBI's taxonomy places the organism in Eukaryota, Metazoa, Chordata, Mammalia, Artiodactyla, Suidae.
GAGGAGGGGGUGCGGGGAACGCGGAAGGACCCGGCGAGCCCGGCGGCCGAGUGCUGAGCGGCUCCCCUUCGCGAGGCAGCGGGAUCCGCCGAGCGCCCGAGUGCCCAGCCCCGCCGGCGCGAUGGAGGCGCCGCUGCUGUGGUUCUGCAACUGCAGCGCGCUGGGCGUGAGCGCUGCGCUCAAGCUGCCGCAGAUCUCGUCGGUGCUGAGGGCGCGCAGCGCGCGGGGCAUCAGCCUUCCGAGCCUCCUUCUGGAGCUGGCGGGGUUCCUGGUCUUUCUCCGGUACCAGAGUUACUAUGAGUACCCGCUGCUGACUUACCUGGAGUACCCCAUCCUCUUGACACAAGAUUUCGUCCUCCUGCUGUGCAUCUUCCACUUCAGCGGGCGUGUGGAGCGGGCUGCGUUCUACAUUGCCCUCUUUGUGUCUGCUUGGUUCGUCCUCAGCCUGCGGAAGUGGAUCAUGGAUCUGGCCAUGAACUUCUGUACAUUGAUCAGCGCAGCCAGUAAAUUUGCGCAGCUCCAGUACCUAUGGAAGACCCGGGACUCGGGAGCCGUGAGUGCCCUGACGUGGAGCCUCGCUUCGUACAGCUGCGCAGUAAGAAUAAUAACGACGCUAAUGACCACCAAUGAUCUUACAAGGUCUUCCUGAAAGUGAUCUGAGAAGAACCUUUUGAAAACAGUUUACUGUUCGAGCCACUAAGUUCUUACGCGUUUUGUGGUCACGCUGGCUUUAAAUAUAUGGGUAACAGCUACAAUACUUCGCUACCGGAAGACUGCUGUCAAGGCUGAGUGAUGGACACGUAAUAGUCCUACAGAGUGGAUUUUGAAUAACUGAACCAAAGGCAAAAAGCUCAUUGCUAAACCAGGUCUUUUAUAAAUUCAGCCAGUCGUGCCAAAGGUAUUUUAGACUUGAAAGAGCCCACUUACACCCUUGUCUAAACAUGUCAAUUUUUAACCCCGCCGCCACCUCAGUAGGUUCAAGUAGGCUCAGAGUAUCUGCCGUUUUGCGAAGGCUGGUGGUAGCUGGUCUUGCAGGAGCCCCAUUUCGAGGCGAUAGCUUUGACCCAUAUCACUCAAGUCACAGUUAAGUUCUCUCCAAAAAACUACAUACAUCUACUUUGCAGCAUUCGGAAUCUUGUAGGAAAUAAACCCCCUCCACAACCCAAAUGAGCAUGAAUAGGAGUUUGCUCAGUGUGGGAUUGUGAUAAGUGACCAGGGUUUGCUUCCCGGGACUAAUGUUUAACUGCCCUAUAGAUGUAACAGGACGGCCUUAUUGGAUGUUACUGCAUGAUAGCUCCUUAAGCUAUAGCAAGGAUAUCAAGACCAGCAAAAAUGUAACUGGCUUGAGUUCACAUACCAAAGCAGGUCUUUAACCUCACACUGUGCCUUUAAAUAACGCCUAACGAACGGAGCCUGCAGUCUCUACUUGUGAUGAGGUGACCCCACUAUACUGAUGCCAGCACCAGGUUUAUGCUGCCGGUUUUAAAAAGGACCACACCUACGUAGUUACUGUUAUUAGAAUUUGGCACAAAAUAUAGCUGGCCUCCACCAGGCUUUGCCUAUUGAAAAUAUAUGCAGUAAAGGGUAUUGCUGAGUUCUGACAAGUUCUUAUGGAUUUUAUUCUCAUUAUAGUAUCACAUUCUAAACAUGAUAAAAUUAUUGUAAGAUUUCUUACAUUUUUCCUGUAAAAAAGCUCAUAAACCCUAACACUGAAAACUCUCGUUCCCCUAAUAAUUGAAUGGCAUUAUUUUAUUAUAUGCAGUAAGUGAUGUUUAUUGGAAAAUAUUUUAGUUUCUUGUGUACAAUAAACUAUCAUAUUUUGAACUCUG